This 1027-nucleotide ribosomal RNA is filed under the name Sammeyersia grandispora. RNAcentral describes it as "SSU rRNA". It matches the Rfam family "Eukaryotic small subunit ribosomal RNA", at positions 73 to 1111 of the family's 1831-position model. Lineage: Eukaryota; Fungi; Ascomycota; Sordariomycetes; Lulworthiales; Lulworthiaceae. The record is from RNAcentral.
AUUAUACAGCGAAACUGCGAAUGGCUCAUUAAAUCAGUUAUCGUUUAUUUGAUAGUUCCCUGCUACUUGGAUACCCGUGGUAAUUCUAUGGCUAAUACAUGCAAAAAGCCGCGACUUCGGAAGCGGCGUGUUUAUUAGACUAAAGACCGACGCCCUUCGGGGCUUCCCGGUGAUUCAUGGUAACCUGUCGGAUCGCACGGCCCCCGCGCCGGCGACGGAUCAUUCAAAUUUCUGCCCUAUCAACUUUCGACUUUAGUGUAGUGGACUAAAGUGGUUGCAACGGGUAACGGAGGGUUAGGGCUCGACCCCGGAGAAGGCGCCUGAGAAACGGCGACUACAUCCAAGGAAGGCAGCAGGCGCGCAAAUUACCCAAUCCCGACACGGGGAGGUAGUGACGAUAAAUACCGAUGCAGGGCUCUUUCGGGUCUUGCAAUUGGAAUGAGUACAAUCUAAAUCCCUUAACGAGGAGCAACUAGAGGGUCAGUCUGGUGCCAGCAGCCGCGGUAAUUCCAGCUCUAGUAGCGUAUAUUAAAGUUGUUGUGGUUAAAAAGCUCGUAGUUGAACCUCGGCCCCGCCCUGCCGGUCCGCCUCACCGCGUGCACUGGACCGGGCGGGGCCUUCCCCGGGGGAACGGCAUGCCCUUCGCUGGGCGUGCCCGGGAACCCGGACCUUUACUGUGAAAAAAUUAGAGUGUUCAAGGCAGGCUCGCGCCCGGAUACAUUAGCAUGGAAUAAUAGAAUAGGACGCGCGGUUCUAUUUUGUUGGUUAUGGGACCGCCGUAAUGAUUAAUAGGGUCAGUCGGGGGCAUCAGUAUUCGGCUGUCAGAGGUGAAAUUCUUGGAUUUGCCGAAGACUCACUACUGCGAAAGCAUUUGCCAAGGAUGUUUUCAUUAAUCAGGAACGAAAGUUAGGGGAUCGAAGACGAUCAGAUACCGUCGUAGUCUUAACCAUAAACUAUGCCGACUAGGGAUCGGGCGGUGUUGCUUUCUGACCCGCCCGGCACCUUUCGAGAAAUCAAAGUCUGUGGG